Molecule: ribosomal RNA, 536 nt
Filed under: Aureobasidium iranianum
Lineage: Eukaryota; Fungi; Ascomycota; Dothideomycetes; Dothideales; Saccotheciaceae
Description: partial large subunit ribosomal RNA
Rfam family: Eukaryotic large subunit ribosomal RNA
Source: RNAcentral
UAGUAACGGCGAGUGAAGCGGCAACAGCUCAAAUUUGAAAGCUGGCCUUCGGGUCCGCAUUGUAAUUUGUAGAGGAUGCUUUGGGGCAGCCGCCUGUCUAAGUUCCUUGGAACAGGACGUCAUAGAGGGUGAGAAUCCCGUAUGUGACAGGACAUGGCACCCUAUGUAAAGCUCCUUCGACGAGUCGAGUUGUUUGGGAAUGCAGCUCUAAAUGGGAGGUAAAUUUCUUCUAAAGCUAAAUACCGGCGAGAGACCGAUAGCGCACAAGUAGAGUGAUCGAAAGAUGAAAAGCACUUUGGAAAGAGAGUUAAAAAGCACGUGAAAUUGUUGAAAGGGAAGCGCUUGCAAUCAGACUUGUUUAAACUGUUCGGCCGGUCUUCUGACCGGUUUACUCAGUUUGGACAGGCCAGCAUCAGUUUCGGCGGCCGGAUAAAGGCCCUAGGAAUGUGACCCCCUCUUCGGAGGGGGUGUUAUAGCCUGGGGUGUAAUACGGCCAGCCGGGACUGAGGUCCGCGCUUCGGCUAGGAUGCUGGCGU